RNAcentral lists this ribosomal RNA (497 nucleotides) under uncultured bacterium. RNAcentral describes it as "partial 16S ribosomal RNA". It matches the Rfam family "Bacterial small subunit ribosomal RNA", at positions 28 to 507 of the family's 1533-position model. The record is from RNAcentral.
GAUGAACGCUGGCGGCGUGCCUAAUACAUGCAAGUCGAGCGAACGUACGAGAAGCUUGCUUCUCUGAUGUUAGCGGCGGACGGGUGAGUAACACGUGGAUAACCUACCUAUAAGACUGGGAUAACUUCGGGAAACCGGAGCUAAUACCGGAUAAUAUUUUGAACCGCAUGGUUCAAAAGUGAAAGACGGUCUUGCUGUCACUUAUAGAUGGAUCCGCGCUGCAUUAGCUAGUUGGUAAGGUAACGGCUUACCAAGGCAACGAUGCAUAGCCGACCUGAGAGGGUGAUCGGCAACACUGGAACUGAGAAACGGUCAAGACUCCUAAGGGAGGCAGCAGUAGGGAAUCUUCCGCAAUGGGCGAAAGCCUGACGGAGCAACGCCGCGUGAGUGAUGAAGGUCUUCGGAUCGUAAAACUCUGUUAUUAGGGAAGAACAUAUGUGUAAGUAACUGUGCACAUCUUGACGGUACCUAAUCAGAAAGCCACGGCUAACUACGUG